GUUGUUUACGAAUGUUUGCAACCAUUCGUUUAAUAACCACAAACCAAAAGUCACAAUAGUUUAUUAAUAUAACCGUUGAUACACUUAAAUUACCAACAAUAGCCCACAUCUUCAGAAGUGAAUAACUUCUGGAAAUAUUGUUCGGCUAUUCUCCCCAGUUCCUUAUCCGCUGACCAUUGUUUACCUUCAUCAUCCUCCAAGAACUGAAUUCUUUUCUGUGCUUUCCUGCCUUUGGUCGCUGCAUGAAAAAAUUUGGUGUUUCUAUCACCAUUAUUCAACCAGAACCUUUGCUGAGUUGCCAGAUCAAUCCGAUGAUGAAGGUCUUUUAUUCUAAGAGCAGAGUUUGGUUUCGAUUGUCUCUUCCAUUUGGAGAUCUCUUUUCUACAUCCUCUGAUCUUAUCAACCAUCCGUGAGGAUUGUUUUA
Molecule: long non-coding RNA, 424 nt
Organism: Camelina sativa (false flax)
Lineage: Eukaryota; Viridiplantae; Streptophyta; Magnoliopsida; Brassicales; Brassicaceae
Source: RefSeq, a predicted model, not a curated record